AUUGAACGCUGGCGGCAGGCUUAACACAUGCAAGUCGAGCGGAGUGAUGGUGCUUGCACUAUCACUUAGCGGCGGACGGGUGAGUAAUGCUUAGGAAUCUGCCUAUUAGUGGGGGACAACAUCUCGAAAGGGAUGCUAAUACCGCAUACGUCCUACGGGAGAAAGCAGGGGAUCACUUGUGACCUUGCGCUAAUAGAUGAGCCUAAGUCGGAUUAGCUAGUUGGUGGGGUAAAGGCCUACCAAGGCGACGAUCUGUAGCGGGUCUGAGAGGAUGAUCCGCCACGCUGGGACUGAGAAACGGCCCAGACGCCUACGGGAGGCAGCAGUGGGGAAUGUUGGACAAUGGGGGGAACCCUGAUCCAGCCAUGCCGCGUGUGUGAAGAAGGCCUUAUGGUUGUAAAGCACUUUAAGCGAGGAGGAGGCUCUUUUGGUUAAUACCCAAGAUGAGUGGACGUUACUCGCAGAAUAAGCACCGGCUAACUCUGUGCCAGCAGCCGCCGUAA
RNAcentral lists this ribosomal RNA (503 nucleotides) under uncultured bacterium. RNAcentral describes it as "partial 16S ribosomal RNA". It matches the Rfam family "Bacterial small subunit ribosomal RNA", at positions 30 to 523 of the family's 1533-position model. The record is from RNAcentral.